GACAACAUGGAACCCAUUUGUUAUUGUUCAUAUUACGAAAAUUGUGUAAAAAUUAAAUGCUUAUUUAAAGCAAAUACUUAAAUAUUUAAUAUAAAAUAAAUAUGUAGAAACACUGAAGUGAAAAGUUAGUGUAUAAUAAGUGCAUAAUAUAAAAGAAAAUAUAACCAUAAAUCGAGAAAUUGUAAAAUGAAUUUUGUGAAAUUUUCAACUUAAAAUGCAAAUAUCUCGAAAACUAUAAGUUUCCGGCGGCAAUAAUUAUAUAUAUUCGUGAUCUGGAGAAUCUCCUCUAUCCAACCAUACGCCUCUUAACCCUGAAAUCGUGGGAUGCUAAACUAAAGCCCACCCAAAGUACAUAUUAAUUUCUAUAACAAGAUUCAAAACCGGCUUAAAAAAAGGACACGGUAAUGCGAGCAGCUAUUACACCCCGAAUGAAAUUGUGUGUGACUCUAAGGUACUUAGGUACUGGAGACUCUUACAAAUCCUUAGAGUUUUUAUUAAGAAGUCUUCAACCGUCUUAAAUAAAGAUGCCCACUACGGUAUGCGAAUGGCAGCAAAUAACUAAUGAUUUUGAAAACUUGUAGCAAUUCCCCCAUACAUUGGGUGCGAUCGAUGGCAAGCAUGUUAGAAUUAAAGCCCCAGAACACACAGGCUACCAAUUUUAUAAUUUUAAAGGAUAUCUUAGCGUUGUCCUAUUUCUUGCUGUUUCACAUGCUGUUUUGCACACGUGAAUAUAGGUAGCAAUGGCAAGUUAUCACACAACAGUAUUUAUAGUGACAUUUAUUUAUACCAUCCUCUGAAGAGAAACACCUUUAAUACAACUCAGCUUGUUGUCGGCGAAGGAAAUAAAAUCCUAUAUUUUUUUAUUGGGGACGAAGCUUUCGCUUUGGACUGGCACCUUAUGAAACUGUGCAGUCAAAGCUCGAAAUUGAGUGUGCCCCAGGAAAUUUUCAAUUACAGUCUAUGUCGCAAGGAUGACAGUCGAAUGUGCUCUCGGGCGAGAGUCACAUAGGUUCAGAAUUUUUCAAAGACCCAUUGAGGUGCAACGCAAGACGGCGGACGCUUUGCUAAAGUCUUGUUAUGUGCUUCACAACUAUUUAACACCACUAAGAGCGGUAGGAAAAGUACCACAAUCAGAUUAAAAUUUAAUUGUAGAAUUAUUUCAGCAAUUGGUGUUCAAAACCACAAAACAUAUAGGUAUGCAUGCAAAGCUAGAGACGAGUUGUCACAAUAUUUAGCCACAUAUGGAAAUGUUGAGUUCCAGGUGCAAGAGAUAAAUAUAAAUUAAACAAUAUCUGGAAAAAUUAAACACACAGUUUUCCGAUUAAUAAGAGAAAACUCCAGGAAAGCCAUCUCGUUAUACCAAAAUACGGUUGGAGUAUAUAAGGAGUCUGUACCACAUCCACAUUUUUGGCUCCUUUACACCUUACUGCUCUCUGCAUUGUAUGCUGUGCGAAGAGAUUUGACUUUCUUUUUUUCAUUCUCCACAUGCAUUUUAGUUUCAGCCGAAAUUGAGUCAUAAACUUUAAUUUUUAUGUAAAUUCGGCGAUAACACAAAAGAUUCGUAACCAAUAGAACUGUAUGGCUUUUAUAUACGGUAAACUUACUUUAAAAUGUGAUCAGCUGUUCAAAAAAGAUCGUUAACUUGCCACUCGGCUUGAAUGAAAAAAUUGAUAUCAAGACGGCUUUCAAGUUCGAAAAGUGAGAGUUUGGUAGUAAAAAAGUGUGAAAGUGUUGCAACUUUCAAGCAAUUCCUUGAUCGUGCAACGUCCGGAUAACUUAGGCUGGAAACAGUCAUCGACAUUCCGCCUUUACCGCCCAUAUCAAAAGAAAUUUUUUAAAAGUUAUGGCCAUAGUGGCAACGUAAAGAUCAGUUGCUCUCUUUUGUUUUCAUUUCACCAAUGUUGCCAUUGAUCAAUUUGUAUAGAUGAUUUUGCACACAUUUAGUUUUUAGUUAUAUUUUUUUAUAAUUUUCAUUUCCCAGCUAUUAAAAAUAGUCUACCUAUUUAUAAAUAAAUGUAUUCGACUGUGACUUUUAAGAAUAUUUCAAAUAUAUUCAAGUUUACUUUUUAAUUACUACAAAAUACCGAGAGGUGCAACCCUGCGUUGCAAGAAAGCAAUCAGCUCACUACAGGAAAAAAUUCGUUUCUACAGGAAAAAUCCAAUUUUCGUGGAUAUCCUACCGUACGGUAUGUAUAAGGGGAGGGUAUAACCGGGUGAGUAUCAUUUGCAUUGCGCUUUCAUAAGAUAGGUCGUACCACCUUAUUCGGCCUACGUUUUGCGUCGGUGACUGUUUCUAGCAUUAUAGGUACCCUACAAGAUGAGUUAAAGUUAGGUUUAUUAUUAAUUAUCGAUAGGUUGUCAUUAAUUAAUGCAUUAGUUAUUCGAUAGGUUAUUUUUGUUCUAGUCUCGGGAAAAAAGUAACUUUUCCUCCUCUUUCACUACACGUCGGUGUGAUUAUGUUAUUCGCUCUCUCUCAUUACUUUUGCGGAAAUACUACACAUAUUUUACUGCUUUAAUUUGCCAACUAUUUUGGAAAACUAUCUGUUAUUCUUUGGUUAACAGCGUCUUUUUCAUUCCUAUUUGUUGGAUUAGCCAUCUGUUACUGCAAAUAGUUUGUUUGGUUACUGUUAUGGUUACAUAUAAGUUACAGAAAACUGAUUCAUAGGUUAUUUGUUCGGUUAGCCUUUGGUUACUGAAAACUGGUUGAUCAAUUACCACGUUAACUUCUAUAGUAAUAGAUACCACAGUUUCACGACGUAAGCAGGGACGAUCUGGUAACAGUCCGCCCCGGCCGUAGUCGUGAGGAAUCUGGUUAAGGUCACCUGUGUGUUCGUUGUUCCUCAAUAGCACAGUAUACAGAUAAGGAGCCUUACCAUCGUCGGGGGUACUAUAAAGGGCUGGAUCAAGGUGUCGUGCGACCCGUGCCGAGGGUCAACGGAGCCGAUGGAUACCUGGCGCCCUCCGUAAUAAGAUAACCUUAUUUGCGUAGCGGGAUCCCACCGAUUGGUUGCGCAAGGACAGUCAUACCAAAUUUCAAGCUGGAACCGCCAGUACAGGCUGCCAAACGGCAAAGAUCAGCUGAAGAGGCUAAGCCGUCAGCCAAGAGUGCGACGAUAAAGGGCAUAACGCCCGCAAAAUAAUUUGCCGAUAUGGCCCGAAACCGAAUUAUCAAUGGCGUUAUGAAUGAGGGCGAUCCCCCGGGUUCGCCACCGUCAUGCACACAUGCCGGCUGGUACCAGGGCCAAAUCAAAAUGAUUGCAUGCGACGACGGGAAAUCGGUCGCUUUAUACAAAGCUGCUAUAGCCAAGGUAGGGGAGGUAUAAUCGGCACAUAAUAGGUAGCAGUAGAUAAAAGGGAUAUACCAUCCAGACCAUAACAGCCGGAUCAGAUUAUGCGGCUCAUAAGAGCCGAGAGGUGGAAGUUCGUCAAGGCAUUUAUUGGUAUCGAAAAAAUUGGACGCCGAUGCUGCAGACCAUCCAGCAUCAGAAAACGAGAUACGCAAAGUCGAGGAAGAUCCUAUGGAGUCUUCGAGUGAUGUGGAAAGUAUAGAUCAAGGUAGCUAUGGACGCUGAAAUGCCGGUUACACCAACGCCAAUCAUACGUUUGGCUGUCGUGCCCUGGUUCUACUCCCGUAGCAGCGGCUCGGAACAACCACGGCAACAACUGCACCGACCGCUGCACGAAGUGCCAUGCGCCCAACGCCGACUUUAGUUUCGAAGCUGCCCGUCUCCGAUGCCCGCUCUGUUGCCGUUCACACCGGCUGCAGCACUACCCCAUUUUUAAGGGUAUGACGCCCAAUCAACGGCUACAGGUGCCCCAGGCACAUGGGCAUUGUUUGAAUUGUUUGGCCCAUACGCAUGACACACAGGAAUGCGUGUCCGACAUCACGUGCCAGCAUAUGUGACAGACCGCAUCAUACCUUGCUGCAUAGAAAUCCAAGACGCCUUGUUGCACGGCCCUCCGUACCCCGCAGUCAUGAUGCACCCCGGCGUCUGCAGCCGAGCCGUGCAGGGCGACCCCGUCGACGACAAGCACUCGCCGCACCCCGUACCUGGCGCCAACUCAAUGGCACCUCGACGCGACACCAACCCUUAAGGCCGCGAACCUGCCGCAGGACAGACCACAGCAACGCUGUGGCAAGGCUGCAACAGCUCCAGCGUCUGCUAGGCUGAACAAGAUGUUUCAUCUAUGGGGGCCGGGAUGGCUAAAUGAAUUAAGUUUCCCACCCUGAUGCAUUCAACAUACAACACAACACACCACCCACAAGACAACACUGGCACACCACACCAUUAAAAAAUGCACUUAAAGGACUCCGUUGUAUCCUCUUCGUAAAAGUGGUAAAAGGUGAGUGUUAAAGUGAAAAGAAUAUUCACCGCGAUUUGAUAGUAGAUGGAUAGAUGAGUUUCUCCAGAUUAAGAAAUAUGCAAUGCAAAUUAAUGCAUGCUGAUUCACUGAGUUAACCACACUAUGCGCAUAUUUUUCACUUCAUUUUCACUUAUCAAGUUGAUAUGAACACUUAUCACCAUGUACAUAUCUGUUUUGCCCGCAAUUUCAGCACGAUUUAAAUUUGUUAAAUUCAACUGUAAUCCAAUCAACUCGCAAUCCAAAAAACCUAAAGAAAUUCAUAAUAUAUUAUAUUAGUAUAUAAUAUAAAAGAUAUUCUAUUAUAAAAAUUUUAACAUAACCACAUUAACCAAAUUGGUUCCUAAUUAUAAACUUUACAUAUAUGUACUAUGUAUGUACACAUAGCCAAUAAAGUCUGCGUACACCUGACACUAUUUUUUAAGUAAAGUAAAAACACCAUGUUAAUAGGUAAUUCAGUUCAAAUUUUCUACAUGUAUUUGUUCUUUAUAUAUUUAAGUUCCAAAAACAAAAACAAAAAUGUAUAUUCCUAUUUAAAUUUUUGUGAUUACGGGAUUUUAGUGUAAGGAGAAGUAAACAUAGGCACUAUUAAGUCUGCGUUCAGCUUAUUUGUUUCCUCAACUGCAAUCUGGGGCCAUUCUUCUUUCAUAACACUUCGCAAAGCCUCUUUACUUGUUAUUGUAUGCUGACGAAUUCUUCUUUCCAACAGAUCCCAUAGAUGCUCAAUAGGAUUGAGGUCAGGUGAUUGAGGGGCGUUUUAAGUUGUCUAGGAGCAUUGUACAAGAGCCAAAGUCUAACUAUUUCCGCAGUAUGCUUCGGGUCAUUAUCUUGUUGGAACCAAAACGUCGAAGAUAAUCCAAGAUUCUCUGCACUUUGUUUCAAACUGUAUUUUAAAAUGUUUAAAUAACCCCAUUUAUCCAUGGUGGAUUCAAUAAAUUCAAUUGACCCACACCACCAGCCGCCAUGCAACCCCACACCAUAAUUCCGCCACCUCCGUGUUUAACUGUACCAACAAUAUUUUGCUUUUCUAGGGCAGUUCCUGACUUGCGCCACAAAAUUUGUCGACCUUUUAUGCCAAAAAUGCAAAAUUUACUUUCAUCCGAAAAUAUUACUUGUCUUCGGAAUUCCGGCGACUUAUUUAUAUAAUUAUGAGCAAAUUGUAUGCGCUUUCGCUUGUUUACAAGUGAAAUAUAUGGUUUCUUUCGAGCGACUGUACCAUGAUAUCUAGAUUUUCGUAAAAUUUUUCUAGCAGUUUCGGCACAAAUUGUUUUUUUAAUGGUUAUAUUUACGUUUUUAAUAAUCUUUGUGGACGUAAUUCGAAGGUUAACUUUCACCAUAUUUAUUAUUUUCCGGUCUUCCCGGGCUGAUAAUAUUUUCGGACGGCCAGAUAUAUAUAAACUCUUGGUAAAAGUAUCAUACUUUAUAUUGUCAAUGGUCUUCGUUUGUUGGUUUCCUAUUUUGAAGAGAGUUUAAUUUAUUUACUAAACACUUCAGAAUAGUAAUAAUUAAGAAAAAUUCACAACUUACCUGACGCUCUUCAAAUGUUAAUUUUUGACAGAUUCAUUGUCUAUGUGUGUAUUUAAUGUCUUUCCAACUCUAUCCAAUUGCAAUUAUGGCAAGUUAUCUCUUUCUAUGAUACCUCUUCUGUGUGUAUCCUAUUGAUUCUAAUUUAUUUAGCAGUAUGGCAUAUAUUGGUUACCGAAUUUGUUAUGUUAACAGUCAGUUAGAUGUACAAAUAUAUUCAUCGACGUGUUACUCUACCGGUUAUCCAUCUGUUGCCUCUAAUAAAUGCAUAUGUUAGCAUAUCGGUUACCUUUUUGCUACCACAAAUGUUUCCUGAUUGUCACACACAAUACUAGGUCUGAGAAAGCUCGGGAAUUAAUACUUGAUCUUCUUUGAUCAUAGGAACCUGAGUUUUAGCUGGAAUGAAACGCGUUUAGCUAGCACACAUUUGUUUCAGGAACCUUAGAAACAAAAAUUGGGAUCUCGCUUCAAUUGAGCACGCUGGAACGGCUAAUCGACUUGAUUAUCAGGAACUGAAUACCGAGGAAUAAAAUAGUGGCGACUGAGUAUACCUACAGCAAAGGCAGGUCGUUAGACACUGUAAAGCCAAUAACAUUUUAUGGUGUAGGUGCUUCAGUUCACCGGACUACCACUGCUUUUCAAGCAGAGGUAGCUGCAACAUCAUUUAGAGAGUUGUACAUUCACUUCGAUAGCAGAGCGGCACCACUGACCUUGAGCUCUCAAGAUUUUUACUAAGGUUCAUCUCGUUAAAAUAAUAAGACAAUCUCCUAGUGAUACUCGGUCUGUGCGGUCAAAGAUUGUGAAGAAUGCAAAUUUUCAAAGUUGCACGGAGGAGCAGGUGAAUCGGCUUAAAUUAAUAUUAGAGGCCUCAAGAAAUUUCUAACAGGCUCAAUGCCAUCGUUUCUAGCUGUCCAAGUGCGAUCAUUCGUGACCUUACGAAUAUCAAUACGAGUGGGGCCAUGAAAAAGCAAAUAAAGUAAUACACAUAAAACAGGACCAAAAAAGUAUUAUUAAUUUAGAAAUCAGUUAGACGAAAACAAUGACUUUACUUGUUAUUAUAAAAUAUAUUAUAUAUAUGUAUAUAUUUAUAUGCAUUUUAGCAUACAAUAUUCACUUUUAUAUACACAUAUGUUUUUCUAUACAUUUAAUUGUAAUAUAUUGCAAUUCAAAGAAAGUUUUAAGGAUGAUAUUGCAGGACAUAAACCUUAUUGAAUUUGCUCCAUAUUAUGCUAUGCGCUUAAAAUAAAAAAGUUUCCAUUAUUUCCAUUAAAUGGAGAAUUAAAAUUACCACAAAGUACGACGUUGAAAUGUUUUCUUAUAAUAAAUCUUGAACGAUGUGAAUAUAUAAUAUCUCGAACAGUAGGGAGGACGGACGUUACUGAACAUAUUAACGGUUAUCUAACCACUACAAAUUUUUUGUCGGAACAUGGUGUUAUGUGGAACGUGUUAUCUCUCAGGCACCUGUCGGUGCCAGUUCAGAUACUUACUUUUUUGUCGCCCGAACCGAGUUUUUGUACCGAGUUUGUUCGCAACAGUUCGCCGCUACACAAUAUACGUUAUGUUCAGAAAUAUGAAUUUUUUGUAUGUAAUAUGCACAUAUGCAUAGAAUAAUAGAAACAUUUUGAAAAUUGAGAUCAAAUUAAGAUACUCAAAAAUAUUUGAUUUAAAUUUUUAAUAAGAUUUAGCAUAAUUAAAUGUAAUAAUGUUAUAUAUAUAUAAAUAAAUUUUAAUA
Bactrocera oleae (olive fruit fly) is the source of this 7618-nucleotide long non-coding RNA. RefSeq lists it as uncharacterized. NCBI's taxonomy places the organism in Eukaryota, Metazoa, Arthropoda, Insecta, Diptera, Tephritidae. The record is from RefSeq and is a predicted model, not a curated record.